GAUGAAGAACGUAGCGAAAUGCGAUAAGUAAUGUGAAUUGCAGAAUUCAGUGAAUCAUCGAAUCUUUGAACGCACAUUGCGCCCGCCAGUAUUCUGGCGGGCAUGCCUGUUCGAGCGUCAUUACAACCCUCAGGCCCCCGGGCCUGGCGUUGGGGAUCGGCGGAGCCCCCCGUGGGCACACGCCGUCCCCCAAAUACAGUGGCGGUCCCGCCGCAGCUUCCAUCGCGUAGUAGCUAACACCUCGCGACUGGAGAGCGGCGCGGCCACGCCGUAAAACACCCAACUCUUCUUAAGUUGACCUCGAAUCAGGUAGGAAUACCCGCUGAACUUAAGCAUAUCAAUAAGCGGAGGA
RNAcentral lists this unclassified non-coding RNA (352 nucleotides) under soil metagenome. Its description in RNAcentral is "partial contains 5.8S ribosomal RNA, internal transcribed spacer 2, and large subunit ribosomal RNA". The stretch from base 1 to 120 matches the Rfam family "5.8S ribosomal RNA", at positions 35 to 154 of the family's 154-position model. The record is from RNAcentral.